UAGUUAGUUGGUGGGGUAAGGGCCUACCAAGGCGAUGAUCGGUAGCUGGUCUGAGAGGAUGGUCAGCCACACUGGGACUGAGACACGGCCCAGACUCUUACGGGAGGCAGCAGUGGGGAAUAUUGGACAAUGGGGGCAACCCUGAUCCAGCAAUGCCGCGUGUGUGAAGAAGGCCUGAGGGUUGUAAAGCACUUUUAUUGGGGAGGAGGAUUGGUUUGGUUAAGAGCUGGAUUGAUUGACGUUACCCGAAGAAACAGCACCGGCUAACUCCGUGCCAGCAGCCGCGGUAAUACGGAGGGUGCGAGCGUUAAUCGGAAUUACUGGGCGUAAAGGGUGCGUAGGUGGUUUAUUAAGUUAUCUGUGAAAUUCCUGGGCUUAACCUGGGCGUGUCAGAUAAGACUGAUGGACUCGAGUAUGGGAGAGGGUAGCGGAAUUUCCGGUGUAGCGGUGAAAUGCGUAGAGAUCGGAAGGAACACCGGUGGCGAAGGCGGCUAUCUGGCCUGAUACUGACACUGAGGCACGAAAGCAUGGGGAGCAAACAGGAUUAGAUACCCUGGUAGUCCAUGCUGUAAACGAUGUCAACUAGCUGUUGGUCACGUGAAUGUGAUUAGUGGCGA
RNAcentral lists this ribosomal RNA (617 nucleotides) under uncultured Legionella sp. RNAcentral's name for it is "bacterial SSU rRNA". It matches the Rfam family "Bacterial small subunit ribosomal RNA", at positions 242 to 849 of the family's 1533-position model. Lineage: Bacteria; Pseudomonadati; Pseudomonadota; Gammaproteobacteria; Legionellales; Legionellaceae. The record is from RNAcentral.